CUUCUCCUGCUGUAUGUGUGCAGGCCAAUGUGCACAAUGCUGAGGUAGAUACAACUCCCCAAAUCCACUGCCAGUCAUAAAAAAGCUGAUCCAGGACAGCUCUUGUUCUCCCCAGGAGCUGUGGGCAUGUAUAGAAAAUUCAGUAAUUCAGAUGCUUGUUGAACACUGCCAAAUUACAGUGGAAUUACUUGGUUUAUAGAUGGUCUCAGGAGGCUGAGAAGGUGGAUAAGUGCUGGCAGAGGGCAAUUCCAGCUGUUGUGGUCUCCUUGGGAAGAGGCCUGGCCAUGGGGAGGAUCCCACAGAGCCAGGGGAACAGGAGUGAGGAACAGGAGGCACUGAGAGGCUCCCAGAGAACGAGUUUCUGCUGGGGAAAAGGAAGCAGUGAAUGUCCUUGCAUGAAAAAAGAGAGCUUUAGCCAGAUCUGAGUUUUGUCUGGAAAAAAUGUCAUUUUGAUGAAACAGAAAUUGCUGAAGAAAUCUUACCAAUUUUGACAAUUCUGCUUGGAAGGGAGCUGGGGAGGAAUAUCUUGA
This 530-nucleotide long non-coding RNA is filed under the name Parus major (Great Tit). Its description in RNAcentral is "lncRNA (ENSPMJG00000018997.1)". The record is from RNAcentral. Lineage: Eukaryota; Metazoa; Chordata; Aves; Passeriformes; Paridae.